Molecule: long non-coding RNA, 444 nt
Organism: Cyprinus carpio carpio
Lineage: Eukaryota; Metazoa; Chordata; Actinopteri; Cypriniformes; Cyprinidae
Source: Ensembl
UAAAAAUAACCGACUUCCUGUUGGGUUUCGGAUAUUGCUCCAAGAGUCUUUUUUGUAGGUACUGAUGCUUUACAUAUGUGUGUCAAUUUUCGUGCAUGUACGUGAAACACAGCUCGAGGGCUGUUGAUUUUUUUACGAUAGGUGGCGCUGUCGAGCCAUUUUGCCACACCCUCUUCUGAAACCUAUAUCAGACGUAAAUUUUCACCAGGUCUGACGCGUGUGCAAAGUUUCAGGACUUUUCGAGCAUGUUUAGGCCCUCAAAAAUGCGAUUCAUUUUGGAGAAGAAGAAGAAGAAGAAGAAGAAGAAGAAGAAGAAGAAUAAUAAACAAAGCAGAUACAAUAGGGUCCUCACACCAUCGGUGCUCGGGCCCUAAUAAAUAUAGCUGCAAGCAGCAAUGGCGGGCUCAAGCCAUCAGCGCAAACGCCACCCCGGUGGCAUCAGGU